This 73-nucleotide transfer RNA is filed under the name Mus musculus (house mouse). RNAcentral's name for it is "tRNA-Asn". The record is from RNAcentral. Lineage: Eukaryota; Metazoa; Chordata; Mammalia; Rodentia; Muridae.
GGAGAGAUGGCUCAGUGGUUAAGAGCACUGACUAUUCUUCCAGAGGUCCUGAGUUCAAUUCCCAGUAACCACA